GGGGAUAUAGCUCAGUUGGUAGAGUGCUUGCCUUGCAUGCAUGAGGCCCCAGGUUCAAUCCCCAGUACCA
RNAcentral lists this transfer RNA (70 nucleotides) under Ictidomys tridecemlineatus (thirteen-lined ground squirrel). RNAcentral's name for it is "Spermophilus tridecemlineatus (thirteen-lined ground squirrel) tRNA". It matches the Rfam family "tRNA". From Rfam's summary of the family: Transfer RNA (tRNA) molecules are approximately 80 nucleotides in length. Their secondary structure includes four short double-helical elements and three loops (D, anti-codon, and T loops). Lineage: Eukaryota; Metazoa; Chordata; Mammalia; Rodentia; Sciuridae. The record is from Rfam by way of RNAcentral.